Amphiprion ocellaris (clown anemonefish) is the source of this 1006-nucleotide long non-coding RNA. The record is from Ensembl. NCBI's taxonomy places the organism in Eukaryota, Metazoa, Chordata, Actinopteri, Pomacentridae.
AGAGAUUUACUUUACUGUAUGCAGUUUUUUUUUUAAGGGAGAGCAUUUUUUUUUAUCCACCUGAAUGAAGACCCAAUCUUUCCCUUCAAAGGAUAGUUAAUAAUUACUACGGCUUCCAUAGUUUUCCCAUCAGAGAAAAUCAAAUCCAUAUACAGAUUUUUAUUAAUUCCAGGGCUGGUUCAGUAAAGAUUACAAUAAUAACUACAUCAGAUGAUUCUUUGUCACAAUUGGAAUUUUGCAGACUGAGAGAUGGUGGAGAAGGUUUCAGUUCUUGUUUCAGCAAAAUAUGUUAGAAUAGAAGAUCUUUAUUGUCGUUGUAAAUUAAAUUAUCUGCAAACCAGCAAAGUACAUCAGUCUGAGGUAUCUAAAAAUUUAUUCUUAAUGCUGGAGAGCGUUUGAUGCUGAAGCAGUGACCAGUUUUUCUGUUUCUUCUCUGGAGAUGCACAAUGAGGGACGUCUGCAGCGACUGAGAAAGAGUCUCACCACAUCCUGACAUGAGGAAAAAGACUUUAUUGAAGAUUACAAUGGGAAAAACUAUCAGACAGCAGACGGCUGCAUUCAAGGUGAGCUCUGAACAUUUGAUCUGGAACAGGAAUUCAGUAACGGCAGCAUGAGCUUCAUUUCAGUCUGUAGCUGCUGAAUUCAUGGAUGAAUCAUCUGGCACUAGAGAGGAAGACCAUCAAACAUCCACGUCAGCUGAUGGAGGUCCAAGAGUCUCACCAAACAACCUACAGAGUGAGCUCUGAACAUUUGAUCUGGAACAGGAAUUCAGUAACGGCAGCAUGAGCUUCAUUUCAGUCUGUAGCUGCUGAAUUCAUGGAUGAAUCAUCUGACACUAGAGAGGAAGACCAUCAAACAUCCACGUCAGCUGAUGGAGGUCCAAGAGUCUCACCAAACAACCUACAGAGUGAAGACCUCCAAUCUGAUUGGACGGCCUCCUAUUCAGCCACGUGUGAACAAAUGCCUCUAAGUUGAUUUGUUUUCUAAAAUAAAUCUAGUUUGAGUC